AAAGGUAGCAUAAUAAUUUGUCUUUUAAUUAAAGAAUAGUAUGAAUGGAUAGACGUAAAAUUAGCUGUCUCUUUUUUAUUAUAUUAAAAUUAAUUUUUAAGUGAAAAAGCUUAAAUUAAAAGAAAAGACAAGAAGACCCUAUCAAUUUUUAAUUAUCUUUCUUAAGAAAUUAAAGAAUCUUUUUUUGGUUGGGGCAACCGAAAAGGAAAUUAAUCCUUUUUACUUUCCCUUUUUGAAAAAAAACUAACCUAAUUAUUUUGACUUUUGACAUAAAUACUGUAGGGAUAACAGCAUAAUUUUUUUUUGGAGUUCUUAUCUGAAAUAAAGUUUGUGACCUCGAUGUUGGACUAAGGUAACUUUUAGGUGCAGGAGCUUAAAAAGUUAGACUGUUCGUCUAUUAAUUCCUUACAU
This 411-nucleotide ribosomal RNA is filed under the name Dentalium sp. RNAcentral's name for it is "partial 16S ribosomal RNA". It matches the Rfam family "Bacterial large subunit ribosomal RNA", at positions 1952 to 2601 of the family's 2925-position model. Lineage: Eukaryota; Metazoa; Mollusca; Scaphopoda; Dentaliida; Dentaliidae. The record is from RNAcentral.